This 253-nucleotide ribosomal RNA is filed under the name uncultured bacterium. RNAcentral's name for it is "partial 16S ribosomal RNA". It matches the Rfam family "Bacterial small subunit ribosomal RNA", at positions 524 to 776 of the family's 1533-position model. The record is from RNAcentral.
UACGUAGGGUGCGAGCGUUAAUCGGAAUUACUGGGCGUAAAGCGUGCGCAGGCGGCGCGUUAAGACAGGUGUGAAAGCCCCGAGCUUAACAUGGGAAUUGCGCUUGUGACUGGCGUGCUGGAGUGUGGCAGAGGGAGGUGGAAUUCCACGUGUAGCAGUGAAAUGCGUAGAGAUGUGGAGGAACACCGAUGGCGAAGGCAGCCUCCUGGGCCAGCACUGACGCUCAUGCACGAAAGCGUGGGGAGCAAACAGG